This 83-nucleotide small nuclear RNA is filed under the name Salvator merianae (Argentine black and white tegu). The record is from RNAcentral. Lineage: Eukaryota; Metazoa; Chordata; Lepidosauria; Squamata; Teiidae.
CUUAGAAUAAAAUUAUACAGAGAAGAUUAGCAUGUCACCUGUGCAGGGGUGAUACACAAAUUUGUGAAGCAUUCCAUAUUUUC